UUAACUCUAAAAAGACUGGUGGUGGCAACCUUCUCAGGUUAGUCUCUGAGAAGAACUCUAGAGAGUUUCAGAUUUCCUUUCAAUGUUAGAGACUCGGGGUGAAAAAUACUGGGCAUUGCUAUAUUUGUGUUCUCCCAGGAUUCAUAUGGUGAAAACUUAAUUCCCAAUGCGAUAGUGUUAGGAUAUUGGGCUUUGUGAUAUAAUAAGGUCAAUAGGGUGGACUCCUCUUCAAUGUGAUUAGUGCCCUUAUGAAAGAGAUCACAGGGGCCACAUGAAGACCAGCCAAAUAGAAGACAGUUGUCUGUGAACUAGAAAGCAGGCUCUCAAGAGACACUGAAUAUGCCAGCGUCUCCUUGAUCUUAGAAUCCCCAGCCUCCUAACUAUGAGAAAUAAAUUCUUGUUAUUUAAGCCAUUCAUUCUAUGAUAUUUUUAAAAUCAUAGUCUGAACUAAGGAUGGGCAGUAAAUUGUAAUGUUCUUGUCUUUGUCAGUUCAGGUUGCUAUAACAAAGUACCGUGGACUGGGUGACUUGUAUACAACAGAAAUGUACUUCUCAACGGUUGUGAAGGGUUGAAGUCCAAGAUCAGAGUGUCAGUAUGGCUGGUUCCCCUUCUGGAUCUUUGCUCUUUGCAUCCUCCUAUGGUGGAAAGGGAUUUCCUCUUCAGCAUGCUGAACUACCCACCUCUGCUCGACCCCCACUGUCCAAUAUCCACUAUCCAACACAGGCUUGCUUCUGCCUCUGAGAAACUACGUAAAUGAAGCAAGGUCAUAGAACUGAGAGUGAACUGGAGUUAAAAUGAAACAGAAAAGAGUGGAAUAUACAUCUGGGAUUGUAGAUGAGCAAAUGGACUAGAAUUCUGUGGUAAGAUUUCUAGGCAGCACCUAAUUCAAAUUUUUGCCAUUGUUGUUUAGUCGCUAAGUCAUGUCCAACUCUUUUGUGACCCCAUGGGAC
Long non-coding RNA from Bubalus bubalis (water buffalo), 950 nucleotides. RefSeq lists it as uncharacterized. The record is from RefSeq and is a predicted model, not a curated record. NCBI's taxonomy places the organism in Eukaryota, Metazoa, Chordata, Mammalia, Artiodactyla, Bovidae. The transcript has 3 exons.